This 438-nucleotide ribosomal RNA is filed under the name uncultured bacterium. RNAcentral describes it as "bacterial SSU rRNA". It matches the Rfam family "Bacterial small subunit ribosomal RNA", at positions 337 to 792 of the family's 1533-position model. The record is from RNAcentral.
ACCUACGGGGGGCAGCAGUAGGGGAUAUUGGUAAUCUGCGAAAGCGGGAACCAGCAACGCCGCGUGUGCGAUGAAGGCCUUCGGGUUGUAAAGCACUUUUGACCGGGACGAGGAAGGACGGUACCGGCCGAAUAAGCCUCGGCUAACUACGUGCCAGCAGCCGCGGUAAAACGUAGGAGGCGAGCGUUAUCCGGAUUUACUGGGUGUAAAGCGCAUGCAGGCGGUUCUGUAAGUUCGGUGUGAAAGCUCCUGGCUCAACUGGGAGAGGUCGCUGAAGACUGCAGGACUGGAGCGUGGUAGGGGAAGGCGGAAUUCCGGGUGUAGUGGUGAAAUGCGUAGAUAUCCGGAGGAACACCAGUGGCGAAGGCGGCCUUCUGGACCACGACUGACGCUCAGAUGCGAAAGCUAGGGUAGCAAACGGGAUUAGAUACCCUCGUA